UACGAAGGGUGCAAGCGUUACUCGGAAUUACUGGGCGUAAAGCGUGCGUAGGUGGUGCGUUAAGUCUGUCGUGAAAGCCCCGGGCUCAACCUGGGAAUGGCGAUGGAUACUGGCGCGCUAGAGUGCGGUAGAGGAGAGUGGAAUUCCCGGUGUAGCAGUGAAAUGCGUAGAGAUCGGGAGGAACAUCAGUUGCGAAGGCGGCUCUCUGGACCAACACUGACACUGAGGCACGAAAGCGUGGGGAGCAAACAGG
RNAcentral lists this ribosomal RNA (253 nucleotides) under uncultured bacterium. Its description in RNAcentral is "partial 16S ribosomal RNA". It matches the Rfam family "Bacterial small subunit ribosomal RNA", at positions 524 to 776 of the family's 1533-position model. The record is from RNAcentral.